CAAGGAGGACUGCCUGGAGGUGGUGGCCGCGGUGACUGCUCCAAACCCGUUCGGCCCUGUGCAGAAGUCUGAAGAACAGAGGUGCCCUCUGACGCGGCCCCAGGUCUGCUUUGGGGGAAACUAAGAUAAGCACUGUCCAUGAAAGGGGGACAAGGCAGUGAGCAGACACAGACAACUGCAAGGACCUCUUCCCACAGGUACCACUGACCUGUACAAAUGGGCCCUCAGCUUGAAGACUUAGCUAAUACUCUGAAUGCUCAGAAGAUAGGCAGGGCCAAGGUCUGGGCCUGAGGUAGGUGGGCCCCUGUCACACUAGUUUGCUCUUGCUUGACCCCAGAAUUGGUUAGAGGCAAGCUCAGGAUACUAAAAAUUGAUAGUUAUAAUGUGCCUUGGGUCCCAGAGUAGCCCAGGUCUCUCAGGCCCUACAGGAUGAGGCCAGAGUGACCCACUGGGAGGUCCCCUGGCCUCUGACUCUUCCAGCACAUUCUCUGCUCAGUAUCACUCCUUCCAGGAAUUCUCCCCACCCAGGUUUGUAGAAGGGCCAGUGCCUUCUGUUCCUCCACCCCCGCUAGCCUCAGUGUACACUGUAAGACCUAUUCCUGCUUUAUGCCCAGGUAAGGGCGCCCCAGGCUGCCCCCACACGACAGAGGCCCAGGCCAUGUCCCCAGUGGCCUCCAGGGGGCGCCGCCGGGAAGCCUGUAAUUGGGCUCCUGGGAGCUCCGCGGAGGUGG
RNAcentral lists this long non-coding RNA (731 nucleotides) under Homo sapiens (human). RNAcentral describes it as "HSALNT0054310". The record is from RNAcentral. Lineage: Eukaryota; Metazoa; Chordata; Mammalia; Primates; Hominidae.